Molecule: long non-coding RNA, 4405 nt
Filed under: Triticum aestivum (bread wheat)
Lineage: Eukaryota; Viridiplantae; Streptophyta; Magnoliopsida; Poales; Poaceae
Description: long non-coding RNA (TAES_LNC019626)
Source: RNAcentral
GCAGGGACAAAUUUGGUCCAUUUUUAACAUGAACUUUCAACAACACACUGAUAAAUCCGAUCUUUACUACUGUACAGGCUGAAGCAUCAGACGCCAUAUCAUCAAGUACUACUAAAACCAACAAAUCAUAAUCUUUAAGAUCAAUGGUGUCUAAACUAAGAACAUCAAAGGGCAUACAACACGAUCAAAUCAUAGUUUAAACAUCAUAUGUCAAACACAGGCAUGCAUCAGCAUGUACCAACAACACCUAGGGUGCAACACAAACAUCACUUAAAUUCGGUUUCUGCUUCCCAGCAUAGUUUCAGUUUCGCAACGACGCUGACACACAUGCAUCACUUCAGUUCCAUCGCAUCCCUGAAAGCAGCAAGUCAAUCAGAACAUUAGACAUACCAGUCAAACAAUUCACAACUACAAGAGUACUUCAAAUACUUUCGCAAGAAAGAAAAGGAACAGGGGGGAAAUAUGGCAUGGAGUCUGUUUCUUAUACUUCAUGAUCUGAAACAGAUGGACUCGCUCUCCUUUGUCAAAAAGUAUAACAAAAUUUAUAUGUGAUGUACUUGAGCCAGAUUUAACUUGAUGCAAACAGAGAAAAGCAAGCUCUAUCAUUAGGUCACAUAGAUAUCUCACAUCAAGUACUAGCACUGAAAACUCACGACUAAAAAUUUAUACGUACAGACCAUAUAUACACUGCAGAGAAAGGUUGACAGAAACUCUUUGCAUAUACACUGCAGAUCAUAUAUAUGUACAGAUCAAAACUAAAAAUUUAUAUGCACAAAACAUAUAUACAACUAAAAAAUUUGAUUUAGUAUGAUUGUUCACUACCAAAGUGUAUCUAUUUCUCUAACAAAAACACUACAAUUACUUUCUUGCUGAUUGCCCAACAGUAUGGUUCAGUUUCUUCCUGUUAUUUGCCCUUUAUUCAAAUUAGUAUGCAGACAAAGCAUUCAUUCACAAGAAAAACAUGUUUGUUCCAAGCUAAUCAGGAACAUGAGCUUAUGUAUAUUCUCAGUUCGGAGAUGAGAAAUUGAUUUCUAGCUAAUCAGGAAUAGGAGCUUAAGAACAAGACCAAGCAAGCAAGAACAUUAUGAACCAGAUCAAAAUACCUCUUCUAGGUAGGCAACUCAUCCAUUUCGCUCCGAAGCCACAUGACCGCACUCUCUUCUUGAAGUUUGAUGAACAUGUAAGAUAAGAAAGAGCUCGCUAUUACAUUAUAACAAAGAGCAUCAUAAAUGUUUGUUCUAAGCUAAUCAGGAAUAAGAACUUAAGUAUAUUCUUAGUUCAGACAUGUGCAUGCAUAUGCUCAGUUAGCAACCACAUAAAUAUACUACAACUAGUCAUCUCAGAUGAGAAAUUGAUUUCCAGCUCUUGUCUGCAUGUAUUUUACUCAUCUUAGCAAAUCACACCAGUAACAGUUAACUUCGACCAGUUUUGAAUUUCAUCAACAUCUAACACAAGACAUUGCCUGCUAUAUUUUUAGCACACAGUGUCAAAAUUAAUCAGACUGAUGAUAUACCAAUGAAACUUAUGUGCAGCAAAAUGAUUCUCUCCUCACAUUUCUGCACUACAUCCAAUUAUCAAUAUCUAAUACAAAAUGGUUGGCUGUAUUUUGUUACUUUGUUAUCAGAUAUGUACUAUAUGCUAAUAAUAAUGGGAUUUUUUUUACUAUGGAGUAUAAAAUCAGUACCGGAAGGUAGAGAUCCUACUUGAGCAUCUACAUGUAUAAUUUUAAGGCACACAUAAAUGACAUCAAAAAAGGGUUGGAGUUGUCUUGAAUAGUAGUCCAGAUCUAGCAGCAACUAACUUCAAAUAGGGGGAGGACGAAUGUGAUUGGGAAGCAGGCAGAGGAACAACAGGGAGGGCCUCUCACAGCGGUGGUACUGGAAAGGGGAGAGGAGCGUGGCUAUCAGGGACGGUGUGCUUGGCGAGCUCGCAGGGGAGGACGAGGCGAACGGCGGAUCGGCGGCGGCCAUAUUGAGAAACCCUAGAUGAAGAUGGAGGGGGGGGGGGUGCCUCGAGGGAGAAGGCCAACUUUCCCUAGGAAGAAGAGGAAGCAGGCAUCCGACGGAGUUAGCAGCGACGGCGGCGGCUGCGCGCGGUUCUGGCCGUCUCUUGUGACCGCGGCCGCGUCUCGUCUCUCUUUCGCACGAGGCGUGUGAGCCGCGAGGUACCCCUCGAUGCUAGGAAGCCCCAUGGAUCGGGGAGGAACGGAUGGGAUAUUCGGGGCUGACCCGGUUGGAGCCCAGUGCGCCAAACGGUACUCUUGGGCUUUUAGGGUCUUUUAAGCCCGACGGGGAAAAUCCACUAAAAACCCCUUUGAUCCCGGUGUCCCAAACAAGGCCUCAGCACGAAUGGGUUUUCAAGUCUGAAAGUGCAACUAUCCCUGGGUGGUUUUGGUAAUUCGUAACAACAUAUAGCUCAUUGAGCUAAUGCUAUUUUAAAAUAAAUAUUUCAGGGAAGCUCAAUGAUUGGCAUGGCAUGGAUUAGAAAAUAAACCCCUCAAAAUGCUAAGGACAAAAGAUUGGUUCAAGCUCAAAGCACAAGACUCUACAUUUUAUUUUUAGUGAUCCAAGAUCACAUUAAGUCCAUAGGAAAAGACAACACUAUUAGAAGGGGGUGAGGUGUUGCUUAAUGAGUUACUUACUCGAAAUGCUUAGUGAUAUGCUUCAAAAAUCCUCAAUUACUUUCUCAUAUCCACAUAUGUCCCAAACCAAAAAUCAAACUCGGCCCCACCAAAAUCUUUUAUCCGGCGCCACCGAGCUCACUUGACAUAGCCACUGCCACAAACCCUAGUCACUUCGGUCUCACCGAUAGGGAUUUCGGUCUCACCGAGAUGGGAUUGCAACCUCUCUGUUUCUCUUUGUAACGUUUCGGUCCAACCAAGAUGAGCGAUCGGUCCCACCGAGAUUGCAAUGCAAACUCUCUGUUUCCCCUUCGUAACGUUUUGGUCUAACCGAGACGAGCGAAUCAGUCCCACCGAGUUUGCCUGACCAACUCUCUGUUUGUCUAUUACCAAAAUCGGUCCCACCGAGUUUGUGUAAUCGGUCUCACCAAGAUUACGUUAUGCCCUAACCCUAAUAGAAUCAGUCCCACCGAGUUGACAUGUCGGUCCCACCAAAAACCUUAACGCUCACAUUUUGAACUAAAUCGGUCUGACCGAGUUUUAUAAUUCAGUCCAACCGAGUUUGGUGAUUUGUGUGUAACGGUUAGAUUUUGUGUGGACGCUAUAUAUACCCCUCCACCCACUCUUCAUUCGUGGAGAGAGCCAUCAGAACAUGCCUACACUUCUAACAUACAUUUUCUGAGAGAGAACCAUCUACACUUGUGUUGAGGUCAAGAUAUUCCAUUCCAACCACAUAAAUCUUGAUCUCUAACCUUCCCCAAGUUGCUUUCCACUCAAAUCAUCUUUCUACCAAAUCCAAUCAUAUGAAAGAGAGUUGAGUGUUGGGGAGACUACCAUUUGAAGCACAAUAGUAAGGAGUCCAUCAUCAACACACCAUCUAUUACAUUUUGGAGAGUGGUGUCUCCUAGAUUGGUUAGGUGUCACUUGGGAGCCUCCGUCAAGAUUGUGGAGUUGAACCAAGGAGUUUGUACAGGCAAGGAGAUCGCCUACUUCGUGAAGAUCUACCCUAGUGAGGCAAGUCCUUUGUGGGCGAUGGCCAUGAUGGGAUAGACAAGGUUGCUUUUUCGUGGACCCUUCGUGGGUGGAGCCCUCCGUGGACUCACGCAACUGUUACCCUUCAUGGGUUGAAGUCUCCAUCAACGUGGAUGUACGAUAGCAUCACCUAUCGGAACCACACCAAAAAUCUCCGCGUCUACAUUGCGUUUACUUUCUCCAAACUCCUCCCUUUACCUUUAUAUGCAAUUGUUUUACAUUCCGCUGCUAUACUCUUAGAAUUGCAUGUGUAGAUUGAUUACUUGAAUUGUGCUAAGUUGCUAAAAUCUGCCAAGACUUAAAACUGGAAAAAUUCUAGAUUUUUAUUUGGUCAAGUAGUCUAAUCACCUCUCUCUAGACAUACUUUCGAUCCUACAAAGCCCCAAAGGGGCUGGGGAUUAUUGGGGAUUUGGUGAACCCCUCCCCCGCACCAAAUCCCCUCAAAUCCCCUUCCGCCUCCCAAGCCCCUUCCACAUCUAUCCAUAUAUGAGUGUUUCGCAUGCAGGGACAAAUUUGGUCCAUUUUUAACAUGAACUUCAACAACACACCGAUAAAAAUCCGAUCUUUACUACUGAACAUGCUGAAGCAUCAGUGGCCAUAUCAUCAAGUACUACUAAAACCAACAAAUCAUAAUCUUUAAGAUCAAUGGCAUCUAAACUAAGAACAUCAAAGGCCAUAUAACACGAUCAGAUCAUAGUUUAAACAUCAUAUGUCAAACACAGGCAUGCAUCAGCAUGUACCAACAACACCUAG